Molecule: long non-coding RNA, 2457 nt
Filed under: Helianthus annuus (common sunflower)
Lineage: Eukaryota; Viridiplantae; Streptophyta; Magnoliopsida; Asterales; Asteraceae
Description: hypothetical non coding rna
Source: RNAcentral
UUUUUUCUAUUCUUCUCUCUAUACGUUGGUGUUCUAACCAAUAAUCACCGAUGCGAUAUUCUGUCCGAUCAAUUCGGGAACCAACUAACGAAUGCCAAAGUGCUGUCUAAACAAGACAAUACUUUGUGAAUUUUGUUAAGGUUCUGAAACGAAUGCCAAUGUGCUGUCUAAACAAGACUAUACUUUGUGAAUCUCGUUAAGGUUCUGAAAUGAAUUCCAAAGUGUUGUCUAAACAAGACUAUACUUUGUGAAUUUCGUUAAGGUUCUGAUCUCGUGACCAUCAUUAAGUUUGAUUUGGUAAAAAACUAACACGUAUUCCACUCUGAUAAACUAAAUGUUUAAAUACCCGAAACUCUGCACUGUACACUUACAAUUAAAAUAGAUGCUCAAUCAUCAGAAGAUUCAGAACUAUAAAGUAGAUGCUUGUUUAAUCAAGACUAUAUGCUAACAAGGUAAUUACAGUAGAUUGGAAUAAGAGUGAUGAUAUGGCACCGAAAGGCUUAAAGAAGUGGCUUAUUUUAUCAAUUGAAUUAAAUUAAGCAAACAUGGUUUCAUAUAUUCGGGUUUAUCCCUUAUUAAAGCUACCUUUGUAAAACAUGGGUUUUACCCCAUCUAUUUAAUAAAUAAAAUCCAGUGUUUUCUAAACUCUGAUAUUUUUCCUACCUCACGGUACUGAUGAACAUUUCCGCUGCAAUGUUUUUAAAAUAACCACCAGUACCACUUGACUGUUCAUGACUGUCGUCCAGGGUGUGGUCGGGGGUCGUGAUAGAGGUGGUAUCAGAGCUAAGCCACUUGUUUAAGCAAUUAGGUGUUGUAAUAAUACCUAAGCUUAAACAAAAAAGUUAGGAAAUUGUUAUUAACUGGUAGCAACAUGGAUAGUAUUUAGACUUGAACUUAAGAAAGAUGCCUUAGUAUAAGCUUCGAGAUAAACUAAUUACUUGCGUAGAUAAAAUGUGAUGGGUGUUAGUAUGCCGUGAGGAUGAUGACUAGAACGUUGCAAGUAUGGUAAAUAAGCGAUAACACUUGGCCACUGUUAUUUCUUGUUUAUUGGUACUACUGGGUUCUAGAAUAUGAUCCAUCAUGUGAAUACUAAUUACCUUGUUCUUUGAUAAAAUCUCUAAUAAAAGAUUCAUUUUUAAUCAUGAAUUGAGAAGAUUCUAUUUAUGGGAAAUACAAAUUACCUAUCCGGCGAGAACCAGGUAAGAUGGGGUUACCUCUCUGGCAAGAACCGGAUAAGAUGGGGUAUAUAAUAUGUCAAACUAGUGACAGAAUUCCCUAAAUAGUAUCAUGACCUGAUAUCUGGCUUGUUUUUCGAAAUAUGAAUCUUUUAAAUACAUUAACCUUAUGCAAGGUUUGUAUAUUACAAUAUGUGAAAUAUAUGAUUAUAUAGAUACGUAUAUCUAUAAGGAAAUCCAAAAACCAUAAGGAUUGAUAAUUUAAAAUACAUCACGAGCCUGAGUGUCAAUAAUAAUUCCAGAAAUUUUUAUCAGGAAUCUCUCGUAUACAUCUAUAAUUCCGACAUCGAAAACUAUUCCAUUUGAUCACCCGUCUCGUAACUCGUGCGACAAGAUGAACGAUGUGAACCCUUAAAGUUGGGACGCCAUCGAAAGUAUAAGAAUUCCCUCUGCGUUAUCUUAGAUUAUUAACGCAUUAGGAAAAGUUGUGCUAGGUACAAAACAUCUCAAAACCUACGCUAAUGAGAGUAAUUCUGCUUUCUUUAAGAACUCUUGCGAAGAUAACAGUAACCACGACUAGAUGCACUUACAAAGACUUUCUUCACCUAUAAUCCCUCUAAGAUUGUCAGUAACAAAGGACUAAAGUUGUCCUAACCAUUAGUAUAUAUGUUAAGAAAAAUGAAGUAAUGUAUGCUUCAAAAUUUAGACAUUUAGAUAGUGAAACCCGAUCUUCGAAACACAGGAUCAAGACAUAUGCCAUGAAAUGGAAUGAAUGAAAAGAACUGACAGAAAGGAAAUCUUGUCUACUUCAUAAAAAGGAAUAACAUGGAAACGAUGAUUCCAGAGGUGAUUGCUGACUUAGGUUUAGAUUUGCAAGCCAACCGGAGAAGUGACCACAAGGAGACAAGACAGACCAGCCGAAAAAGUUUAUCUCUGUGAUGAAAGCUGCGAGUUAUGCAUGGAAGUAAGACAUAGCUUAUAUGGUCUCGUAAUUCGUUAACACUAGAGGCAUGGAACUGAAAGAAAUUCCGACCAAUGUUUUCCCAGAGGAUCUAUUUGGGCUAUCACCUGAUCGUGAGGAAAAACUCAGAAUUCGUCUGAUACUAGAAACAACAUCGCUUGUUAUAUCACAAAGAUAAGACUAAGGGAGUAGUUGAUGCUUUAAGUCAUAAGUUUCAUAAGAAGCCGAAACAAGUGCGUGCUCUUAGAUUAAAGUACGAAUAGAUUUAAUGAAACAAUUAAAUAGUACCCAAGAACACAGCAACCAAAAAUGAUGCUGAAG